RNAcentral lists this ribosomal RNA (92 nucleotides) under Cavia aperea (Brazilian guinea pig). Lineage: Eukaryota; Metazoa; Chordata; Mammalia; Rodentia; Caviidae. The record is from RNAcentral.
GUCUACAGCCACACCACCCUGAAUGCGCCCGAUCUCGUCUGAUCUUGGAAGCUAAGCAGGGUCCGGCCUGGUUAGUACUUGGACGGGAGACA